This 292-nucleotide ribosomal RNA is filed under the name uncultured bacterium. RNAcentral describes it as "partial 16S ribosomal RNA". It matches the Rfam family "Bacterial small subunit ribosomal RNA", at positions 505 to 796 of the family's 1533-position model. The record is from RNAcentral.
GUGUCAGCAGCCGCGGUAAUACGUAGGUUGCAAGCGUUGUCCGGAAUCACUGGGCGUAAAGCGCACGCAGGCGGCUUUGGAAGUCCAAGGUGAAAGCCCUCGGCUCAACCGAGGGAGGCCCUUGGAAACUCCAGAGCUCGAAGGCGGGAGAGGCAGAUGGAAUUUCCGGUGUAGCGGUAAAAUGCGUAGAUACCGGAAGGAACACCAGUGGCGAAAGCGAUCUGCUGGCCCGCUCUUGACGCUCAUGUGCGAAAGCUAGGGGAGCGACCGGGAUUAGAUACCCUGGUAGUCC